GUCGUUGUAGUAUAGUGGUGAGUAUUCCUGCCUGUCACGCAGGCGACCCGGGUUCGAUCCCCGGCAACGGCG
RNAcentral lists this transfer RNA (72 nucleotides) under Striga asiatica. It matches the Rfam family "tRNA". From Rfam's summary of the family: Transfer RNA (tRNA) molecules are approximately 80 nucleotides in length. Their secondary structure includes four short double-helical elements and three loops (D, anti-codon, and T loops). Lineage: Eukaryota; Viridiplantae; Streptophyta; Magnoliopsida; Lamiales; Orobanchaceae. The record is from Rfam by way of RNAcentral. RNAcentral also lists the same sequence under 2 other names.